UGUGUUGUUGGGUAGGGGAGCGUUCUGUAAGCCUGCGAAGGUGUCUCGUGAGGGAUGCUGGAGGUAUCAGAAGUGCGAAUGCUGACAUAAGUAACGAUAAUGCGGGUGAAAAACCCGCACGCCGGAAGACCAAGGGUUCCUGUCCAACGUUAAUCGGGGCAGGGUGAGUCGACCCCUAAGGCGAGGCCGAAAGGCGUAGUCGAUGGGAAACAGGUUAAUAUUCCUGUACUUGGUGUUACUGCGAAGGGGGGACGGAGAAGGCUAUGUUAGCCGGGCGACGGUUGUCCCGGUUUAAGCAUGUAGGCGGAGGUUCCAGGUAAAUCCGGUACCUUAUUAACGCUGAGGUGUGAUGACGAGGCACUACGGUGCUGAAGUAACAAAUGCCCUGCUUCCAGGAAAAGCCUCUAAGCAUCAGGUAACAUCAAAUCGUACCCCAAACCGACACAGGUGGUCAGGUAGAGAAUACCAAGGCGCUUGAGAGAACUCGGGUGAAGGAACUAGGCAAAAUGGUGCCGUAACUUCGGGAGAAGGCACGCUGAUAUGUAGGUGAAGUGGUUUACCCAUGGAGCUGAAAUCAGUCGAAGAUACCAGCUGGCUGCAACUGUUUAUUAAAAACACAGCACUGUGCAAACACGAAAGUGGACGUAUACGGUGUGACGCCUGCCCGGUGCCGGAAGGUUAAUUGAUGGGGUUAUCCGUAAGGAGAAGCUCUUGAUCGAAGCCCCGGUAAACGGCGGCCGUAACUAUAACGGUCCUAAGGUAGCGAAAUUCCUUGUCGGGUAAGUUCCGACCUGCACGAAUGGCGUAAUGAUGGCCAGGCUGUCUCCACCCGAGACUCAGUGAAAUUGAACUCGCUGUGAAGAUGCAGUGUACCCGCGGCAAGACGGAAAGACCCCGUGAACCUUUACUAUAGCUUGACACUGAACACUGGUCCUUGAUGUGCAGGAUAGGUGGGAGGCUUUGAAGCGCGGACGCCAGUUCGUGUGGAGCCAUCCUUGAAAUACCACCCUUUAAUGGCUGGUGUUCUAACGUAGACCCGUGAUCCGGGUUGCGGACAGUGUCUGGUGGGUAGUUUGACUGGGGCGGUCUCCUCCUAAAGAGUAACGGAGGAGCACGAAGGUUAGCUAAUCCUGGUCGGACAUCAGGAGGUUAGUGCAAAGGCAUAAGCUAGCUUGACUGCGAGCGUGACGGCGCGAGCAGGUGCGAAAGCAGGUC
Molecule: ribosomal RNA, 1215 nt
Filed under: Salmonella enterica subsp. enterica serovar Goldcoast
Lineage: Bacteria; Pseudomonadati; Pseudomonadota; Gammaproteobacteria; Enterobacterales; Enterobacteriaceae
Description: partial 23S ribosomal RNA
Rfam family: Bacterial large subunit ribosomal RNA
Source: RNAcentral